Molecule: small nucleolar RNA, 81 nt
Organism: Macaca fascicularis (crab-eating macaque)
Lineage: Eukaryota; Metazoa; Chordata; Mammalia; Primates; Cercopithecidae
Gene: U3
Rfam family: Small nucleolar RNA U3
About the family: Small nucleolar RNAs (snoRNAs) are involved in the processing and modification of rRNA in the nucleolus. There are two main classes of snoRNAs: the box C/D class, and the box H/ACA class.
Source: Ensembl
GAGACAAUACUUGCAGGGAUCAUUUCUGUAGUUGGUUACUAGAGAAGUUUCUGUGACAGAGUAGACUACCAAAUUUUAAAA